Molecule: ribosomal RNA, 379 nt
Filed under: uncultured Bicosoecida
Lineage: Eukaryota; Bigyra; Bicosoecida
Description: partial small subunit ribosomal RNA
Rfam family: Eukaryotic small subunit ribosomal RNA
Source: RNAcentral
GCUUGUCUCAAAGAUUAAGCCAUGCACGUCUAAGUAUAAGCAUUAUACAGCGAAACAGCGAAUGGCUCAUUACAUUAGUUUUAACAUACACGAUGAUCGAUUCUACUUGGAUAACCGUAGUAAUUCUAGAGCUAAUACAUGCGUAAAGCGCUUCGUAAGAAGUGUGUGUUUAUUAGAUACAACCGCCCCUCACGGGUUUAGGUGAUUCAUAAUAACCGAACGAACCGCGUUCAGCGGUGAUUCUUUCUACAUUAUUCCCUAUCAGCUUUCGUUUUUUGUGUAGUGGACAAAAAAGGCUUUGACGGGUAACGGAGAAUUAGGGUUCGAUUCCGGAGAGGGAGCCUGAGAGAUGGCUACCACAUCCAAGGAAGGCAGCAGG